Non-coding RNA from Pelobates cultripes (western spadefoot toad), 314 nucleotides. Lineage: Eukaryota; Metazoa; Chordata; Amphibia; Anura; Pelobatidae. The record is from the annotation of a GenBank genome assembly.
GGAGGUCUUGCAGCAUUCUAUGCAGACUUCGUUCUGUAAUCGCAGAGUCGGAUACUUUGGAGGAGAUUGAUUCAGCAUCUGACUGGUCGUCCGACAUGCCAGGUGCAUCGCCGCCAUCUUGUUUUUCUUUCCUCCGGUCUUUUUUCCGGGUUUUCACCGCGUCCAUGAUCUUGAGCUGUUUGGGGGGUGACAUAGUCGUGGGGUAUCACCUUGGGAGCACGGGUAGGGAGAUAAGUUUGCAGUUUUUGCUUUUGUUGUCGCUAUCAGGCUGGAAUUUCGGCGGAGCUCUCAAGCCAUGCGUCCGCACUCGCCGG